AGCUUUUGAAAUUGUCUGAGAAUUGAGAAUUUGUGAGAGGGAGAGGGACAGGAUUGGUCACCGAAAUAGGUACGGUCCCCUGAGUGGAAAAUGUGUCCUCGCUCUGAUGUACUCUGAAGAGCUCAGCUCGUGACCAUGGUAGGAAGACACAUCUUGGUUCAGAGUUGUGACUCCAAAGCCAAACGGACCUUCCCCAUUUCUUGAGUGGAAGAGAGAAGAAUAAGGAACUAUCCUUGGGCACAGAUGACACUAUAAUAAGAAAAUCACCCCUGAAAGGCUUGAGAGAGUUGUUUUGUUUGAGGAGUUUUUGUGUCUUUAAAAAAAAAAAAAUCUUUCCACAGAUCAAAACUUCAAAAACCAAGUUAAGGCCUUAGGGCUCAGGUUGUCCCUUAGAAGCUCUCUAUGAACAGGUGGGGGACCUGAGGUCCAGAAAGGGGAAGUCAUAGAGCCAAGGUCAUGGCAAGGUUAAAGGCAGAGCUGAGACAGACCCAGGAACUCCCCUUGCACCUGGGAAGCCCUGCGAUGGAGAGGGAGCACGGAAUCACGUUAGUCAGCUAGGGGGACGGUCUACCUCCUGGGGAAGCACGCCCAGGUCACACAGGAUGCUGGCCAGGGUUCAGCUCUAUAAGGCGGGAGCCAGCAGAGCCCGUGCCCAGGAGUAGCACCCGCAUCUCCGGGAACUGAUUUUUCUCCUGCCUGGGGUUAACCUGGACUUCCCCAGAAGCUGAGGCUGGGGAUUGUCAGCUGAGAAGUAAGGAGGGAGUGCUGUCAGGCAAAGGAGAGGCCUCGGGCUGGAGGAAAAAGGCAAGGGGGGACCCUGGACAGGUCAUUGGGUCUCACUAGGCCUCCACUUCCUCUGCCUUAAAGGGAG
RNAcentral lists this long non-coding RNA (871 nucleotides) under Marmota monax (woodchuck). Lineage: Eukaryota; Metazoa; Chordata; Mammalia; Rodentia; Sciuridae. The record is from RNAcentral.